Non-coding RNA from Pelobates cultripes (western spadefoot toad), 10905 nucleotides. NCBI's taxonomy places the organism in Eukaryota, Metazoa, Chordata, Amphibia, Anura, Pelobatidae. The record is from the annotation of a GenBank genome assembly.
AUUUUUUAUUUUUAUUUGCAUAUCUAUUGCGUUAGAUCUCAUUUGUACUAGAAGUGUCUGUGUACCCUGUUCCUUUGAAAAUUCUAGUAAAACCUACUACAAAAAAAAAAAAAUACAAAUCUAACUACUUUAUAUAGCAGUAUACCUUAGAGAUAAAGAAUGCUACUUUAAAAAUGAAACAAACUACAUUUAGUGUCAGCAGUAGGGAUUUAAAUAGUUUAUUUUGCCCAAUAAAGUACCCUUCAGCAUAAUGACAUUUUCUUAUACAGAUACAAUUGAACAUUUUUCCUUUAAAACAUUAAUGUAUAAUACAAUUAUUAAAUACAUUUUGCUGGAAAAGUGGCCAGCAUCUAGGCCUCUGCAACAGCAAAUGGGUAUCCCUUUGAGUGCCCCAUGGAUAGGUAACAAGAUUCUUCAAUAUGUUCUAUCAUUAGUUCAGCAUUAAGAGUUUUAAUUUUGUUUUACAGGUAUUAGAAGUGUAGUCCUUUUUAUUUACAAAAUAAUACCUCCGUGAAUUCAUUUUUAAUUCUCCCCAUGCCGUCAUGAUAGAAUCUAGUUCAUGUACACAAUAGUAAAAUGAACACAGUCCAACAUGUGUCUUUAACUAUAGUUUUUGUGUUCUAGGUUUCACUUGUAGAUCAGAUAAAAUCAGAUGGACGUUUACAUACGAAAUGUCAGACCCUGCAAACACAUAUCCCUGUAAUCACCCUUUAAAAGAGGUUUUUAGCAGUCAGUAGGAAAGAAGAAUUUUAGCGCUCAAAUCAAAACUGUCUUUGGACUGAAGAAGUGAAUAAAGGAUAGAAUUGCAACAAUAAAAAAGGUGCAAAAUGUAAAUGCCCGUAAACAUGUCUUUUUGGGUUUGCUUAUUUUUUUAACCAAUCUAGGGUUCUGAACAAUAUCGAUCAGAUAUCUGUAGCCAUGCUGUUCGGUUUGUAAUUUGUUUUAAUGUAUAUAAUUAUGUGGACUUUUUACAAUGUGCACCGGCUGACACCGAGUAAAUCUACCCACUAACUACUGGCUAAAGCUGGAACAGGUAUAGUAUAGAAAUUGCUAUUUUUUUCCCCAAUCAGAGCAAUCACAAUGUAGUAAAUUAAAAGUUCUUUUCGCCAAUAUUUUACUAUGGAAAACGUUUUUCUAACUGAAUUCUAUGACAGCUCAAGUAAAGUAACCAACUAAGGUUGAAAAUAGAGCUUUAUUUUAAAAUGAGGUGCAAGUUAUUGCUAAAACCUUCAUGAAUUGCUAAUUUACAGUUUUUUUUAAUAUUUAUAAUAAAAAUUAAAGAUAUGCUUGUAUUUAAACCUACUUUUAACACAGUAAAGGAGUUUAAGCAUGCAUGGGAUAGGCAUAAGGCUAUCCUAAGCAUAAUAUAAGGCCAGGGACCAAUGAAAGUAUUUAGAAAAUUGGGCAGACUAGAUUGGCCGAAUGGUUCUUAUCUGCCAUCACAUUCUAUGUUUCUAUGUGGAUAGAACUGGUUUUCUCAUAAUAAUAAAUUAUGGCUACAUGAUGUAAAUAUUUGGUGUUUCUUCCAGAUGGAAUUGGUUGUGUGUGUUUGUUGCACAUUUGUUAUAGUUUUGGAGGUUUUAAUAUAUAAAAUAAACCAUUUAAAAAAAAAAACACAACUAGUAAUGAAUUAAUAAUAUAGUGACAUUUCAAAGUGGACACCACUUAAAUAAAUAUCAAAUUAGAAUUCCUUGUAAUAGGAAUUUGUAAAAACAGAUAAAUAAAACAAAACAAUUUAAACACUGCAUUGUCAUAACUACUCCAUUAAUAAAGGGCAAUUCUUAUUUUUCUUUUGUCACUCAAUCCCUGCAACUGAGAGUCACUAAUAAUCUGGUAUACAGUGAUUUUAAAGUACUGGCAUCUAACACAAGCCAACUUCAUACUCAAUAUUGAUGUUCUAUUACCAUAUGGAGUGGCUCAGAAAGUUCUAGAUCUGUGGGAACAUGUUUCAGAGCAAGUCAAUUCAUGUAUUGCAUGACAGUUUUGCAAAAUGGUUUUACAAUAUUACAUUUCUGAAGAACUCGUCAUGUUUCUUGUAACCUUUUAUCAGUGUUAAAAACAUGUUUUGGAUUUUUUUUUGAGUUAAAAAGAAGUAUCUUUGAUGAUCAGAAUACACAUUGUUUUUUCAAUGUUUUAUUACACUUUUGAUCCAUUUCACAGUUAAUAUCUAUUUACAGAUUCUUUGAUUGUUAAACUUUGAGGCAGCAGAUAAAGUCACACACUCACAGAAAUUGAAAAUGGCAUACGAUUUUAAAACGGUUAGGCUAUCAUGAGGGAUGGACUAGUUAUCUACAUAAAUCUACAUCAGGUAAAGACACUAUCCUUGUUAAACAAAACCAAAAAAAAACCCUUAUUGUUCAAAAAUAAACAAAACUUUAGGAGAAGAGAGCAUGUUUGCCACUUAUGUGCAAUAAGUACCAAGUCAAGCAAACCACAUUAGAGGCCACUUCAUUUGGAUAAAAACACACAUUUCCUAGAAAUUAAAUUAACAGAUUAUGAAAUGUUGAUCCGUAUCUUAAGUCAUUUUGCCAGCAACCAUUUAGAAACAAGAUGUGAGCAGCCAUUUUGUAAGCGACUUUGUACGCUUAAUUAGCUGUCUGAUGGCUACCCUAUUUCCCAAAGAUUAUGCAGUAAAAACCAUGAAAUGAUUUCUUCAAAAACAUGUGCGUUUUUAAUGCAUUUCUUUCUGGUAACAUAGAAUUGCUUAUUUACAGGCACAUACAUUUUAAUAAUGCCCAUACCUGGCAGGACAUACAUUAAAAUAAAAACAAGACCUGUUUUCAUUUAACAGGAAAAUAAACGUGUAAUUGAAGCCAGCAAUACGAAUUCCUAAAAUGUCCAUUUAGAAUAAAAUACAUUAAAAUUUUCGUGAGGGUAGGGGAAAAAAAUUGCAAGACAUAUAAACAAAGAGAAGAAAUUCCAGCAGCAAUUUUAACAUGGUUUUAAUAGUAUGAUUGAGACUUAUGAAAGUGGACAUACUGCACUCAAGUUCCGAGAACCGGUCAUGAAUAUGAAUGGCAGUUUAUACAGGUGUAGAGUACAUUGAUAAUCUUCCUAAAGACUUAUUUUGCUAAGAAACUUGACAAAAGCAAUUUGCGUUUUCAGCUGCUCACCCAUGGAGCAAAUCUAUUUGAUGGGGUUAUUGAUCAGUGCCCUUUCUAUACAACCCCAGUACUAUAAUACCCACACAUAGAACAAAAUACGCACGAUUGCCUCUUCUGAACAUUCUAUAUGUUCUAUAGUAAAUUUCUAAAUGACAUUUACCUGGUUGCAAUGGUUUAUGAAAAUUGUUGUGCUCACUAGGGAUGGGCAAAAGCUUAGUUUUAGUCUAGAGUAAACUCCUGUGAGCAAAGUAUGCUCUAUCGUAAUCUUGAAAUUGCUCCUUCAAGACUUAUACAGAACUGCUCUUUUUGCUGAAGCAUUCAUGAAAAAGAUUUUUUGGGACCAAGUAGGCAGAUGUUUACAUUAAUACUCAAGCAUUCACUGCAAAUCAUACUGCCAGUCACAAUCUUUUUUAUAAAGUCCAAAAUAGAAUGUGCAUAUUUUACAGUAGGCCACAGAAUAAAGGAAUGUGUUUCAUUGCCAGAAAACAGGAGAAACUUAAAUAUUGCAGGUAGCAAUACAGAGAUGUUCUGAAUCUAGAGGAGAGGCACUGAAUCUUAUCAGAGAUGCAUUACUGUAGCUGGAGGUGUCAUUACAAGAAUAACUCAUUUGUCCAGCCUUUUUACCCUGCUCCUGGAACCAAAUGAUGACAUAACAUGCAUGACGUGCAAACAUUUUAGUGGUUAUCAGCCAUCCUAACCAAUUUCCUUCCUUCUUGGAAAAGUUCCUUCCCCCCCCCCCCCCCCCACCUCUAGUAAUCACAGGUACCUCACUGAUCAUAAAGAAGAUUUCCACCAAAUGAGCCAAGGUACCAUAACAAAUGCCAACAAGAAAUGUCUGGAUAAAUGUCAAAUAGUCUUUGGUUAGCACAAGUAGAACAUUAACUCCCUUAUUAUCCUUUGAUGUAUAAAUGCUAAAGAUUAUUAUUACUAUUUUUAUAAACACCUAAUAUACAUUUAUGCUGGAGUUGUAGUAGCCUGAAUGCAUUCAGGUAUCUGACUUUUUUAUUUUUAUUUUUUUAGGUAGGAUUUUACUUUUGCAGGUAAACUAUAGACUACAGUAGUGAUUUAUUAACCCUUUUUCGAUCGCUAUGAAAGUGCAAAGCUGCAAUAUUGCAGUGUUUUGAUAAAUAAUAUUGCAAAGUAAUAUAUAGAGUAAUAUAAUCUAAGUCCACCAGUACGUGCCACGCAUCUUUAAUGAUUGCUUGUUUUUACAUUUUAUUAUGAACCGUUAGGCCCUUUGAGUCCCAGAAGAUUUAGCAGAGCCACCUGCUCUAAAAGGAAAUGAGUAUACAAUGUCAAGUCAUCAUUCACUGACAUCUAACUGAUUUCAUUACAGUAGGAAAGUACAAAAUAUAAUCCUAAUAUCCUACACUUUGUUUAACCAAUGCCACAAUCUUACAUAUAUAUAUACACAUUGAAUGAUGUGAAGGAAUGUAGCAGGUUCUGUUAAGAUAAGUGGCAAUUCUAUGCAUUAGCUUUGGCCUCCAAAUAGGCAUGAUACUUGUAGAUACAGAUAGGGGAGUGUAGGCCAUUUUUGACGUAGGGGGGAUCCUACAUAUAGAUUGCCUUUUUGUUGCGCAAGAAACCCACAGAUCUCUGUGAAUGGUCCUAGUCACAUGGAGCAUUCACUAUAUGGAUUUGAUAGAUGAAUGCUUUUGGGGUUGCUAGGUGUGGCAUCAUAUAUCUCUGCAACCACCAUAAGUAUGACCUGUGUAGCAGGACUGAUUAUUAACAAUGAUCUCUGCAUGUCUAAAAGAGAAACCCAUGCUACCAAUGACGUCGGUCUUUUAGAAAAUGAGCAGGGUCUCAUUUCAGACUGCAGUCACUUGUAGAAACCUCAUAAUCCAGCAGCAUGGUCAACCCUUAGUCCACUGGGAAAUACGUUUAUGGACCAGUCCAUGAAGGUGAUCAUAGACACUGCAGCGGCUACAAAACCCAACAGUGCUGAGCAAAGGCCCUGGAUAAUUCUUGCCUGCUGCUUCACUCCUGUUCACACCAAUGAACAUCCCAAUGCACACCUAACAUUUUAAUACAGUGUGAAGCUGCAGCCAUUGAUAGCCCUGCCAUGUUUGUUCAGUGGCCCUGUGCAAGACUCCCAUGGAAAAAGAUGACAUACUAUCUAACUAUAAUUUUGAUAGCCACGUAACUGCCCAAUUACAGAAUGCUAUAUAUUUAAAUCUAGACUCGCAGCAAGUUUCCCAUUUACUGAGCUAUCGAUCAUGCACUUUUGAUGAAUGGAUGUACUGCCUCCAUCAUAUGCACAUUAUUUUAAAGAAGGCUACUUACUGUCCAUGUAUCUCAAAUGUAGGUCUACUACAUGAGAGGACCAUACCUUACCCUAUUUUAAAACUUGGCUCAGGUUAUAUAUAUUUAAGGUUGCUAACCUUUGUAAAUAGAUUGUCUUCAGACACUGCAAGAAAUUUUCAACUUCCAACCAGUGUUUAUUCAUAUAUAAUACAUUCUUGCACUUCAGCACAAUAAAAAGGUCAUUGCAAGAACAACACCGAAAACAUGUCACGGAUCUUCAUUAGGACAUAUAGAAAGUAUAUUUUAAUCAAGUGAACACAGCUCAUCAUAACAUCCCAUUUCAGAUCUAUUUUAUAAAUAUUCUGCUGCAAUCUGAGUGUAUUGGAUAAACCAUCAAUUUUUUAACUUCACCUGCUAUUAAGCCAAUGAACACUAGAUUUUUUUAGUUUAUUUUUUUUUUAUUGAGCUUAGGGUGGAAUGUGAAGUAGAAGAUGUUUAGAAUUGUGAAAAUACUAUUUUAAGGUACUUCUGAUUAUUUAUAUAAAAAAGCAGCUGGCACAACUUUAUCCCUAGAUACAGUAAAUGUCACACCAGGUGCCAGGUACCUGUCAAACAGUAUGCAUUGUCCUAUACUAAUUUUAUAUAGGAAUUGGACUAGUGGAUAUUAUUGCUGUGUCAACUACUUUAUCAAUUGCUAAAAGGGCAUUUAACAAUAUAUUUUGUUCUCUAGUGGUAUUUUGAAGAUAAAAAAAUACCAAAAUUAAGUGAGAUGUUCAGACUUGAGGGACAAAUUAGGACAGUCCCUCAGGAGAACUGGAAGGCAUUUAAAUGGGUGUAAAAGAAGUGGUUUAGAAACCAAAAUAAUGUUAAUUUUUAAAUCAUAUUUAUGGCUUUAGUCUUCAAGUGAAACAGUCACUAAAAUUAAGGUUCAGAAUAACUGUGUAAAGCUUAAAAAAUAAAUACCAAAAAAUAUUUAUAACUUAUGCCACCAGAAACAACUACCCUGUCUGUGAAAUCACCAACUUGACCUCAUAUACAACUACGUUUCAAUGCAGUCAUUCAUGAUGAGGUUUGGUAUUACAGACACAGAGAAUUGCCAAAUCAAAACAAUUUCUAUCUAUAUAUAUUUACAAGAAUUUUUGUAAACUCACUGUGUUCAAACAUGUUCCAGACAUGUAUAACCUAUAUGCUCCCCUUAAUACACCAGAAGCAGAAGGUAUCCCCUUAAAAACACAACUUCUGGAAUAAAAGGGAAUCGUGACGGAAUAUUUAAUACUCCCUUCCCUCCUCAAUCAGACUUUCACCCAGCCUCCACUCCUUAAACUCACUUCUUCAUUAAAGCGUAUCAAUUAAACUGUCAGCAGGUUUCUCACCCCCACCCCAUGACUCCUUUCCUGCAACUGUCAAAAAUGACCUACCAAGCACUCAAUAAACUAUUUAAUUCCCCUACUUUAACCCUUUGUGUUACUAUACCCCACUCCCUCUAGCAUGUAAGCUCAUCGAGCAGGGCCCUCAACCCCUCUGUUCCUGUACGUCCAGUGGUCUGAUCUCAAUGUGUCUGUUAGUUCACCCAUUGUAUAGCGCUACGGAAUUUGUUGGCGCUAUGUAAAUAAUAAAAUAAUAAUAAUGUGUCCUUAGGGGGGUAUUCGAUUUUGAUGUACCCCAACCUAUUCACUAAUGAGUUAGUGGCACCAUAUUAUGCCAUCAGUGAUGUAAUACUAUAUGAAUGACUUGGCUAUUAUAACCUCAAAUAUCUAUGCACAGCUCUGGUAUUACAUCUAAGGAUGCUCAAAAAUAUUUUCUAUUGUAACAAUAUAUUUAAUGCACAUAGUCACCUUGAAAACUACUUUCCCACCUUGUGGUAUGUGUACCCCAAAAAGUAUUUCUUGAAAUGGCUAGUGUGUAACCUAGGGGCACUGUAAAUUUCAACAUUCAUGUGAGGUUACUAGCUUGGAAAUAAAUAUCUGUUGAUAGGGAUACUUUAUCAGCCACAUUCUGAGAAGCAUGAUUCUAACAGAUAUUAAGAACUCAAUAAAGCCCUUGUGGCUAUAAAGUUUCAUAUGCACAAUGGUGUCAAGGCGAAUAUUAAAAUGACGUGUUAUUUGUGUUUCAAGCUAAAUAUUAAAUGUAUAUGUUGUACAUAAGCUCAUGCUUGUAUAUUUAAAAUACAUGUAUUUGGUUUGCAUAUUUUAAAAUAAGUAUUGAACCUUUACCUUCUUAGGAAAAAUAUAUUUAAACAAAGGGCUGUUCAUGUGACUGAUUUCUUUAGAUUAGGUUUAUAAGCAAAGUCAAGUACAGAUUAGGUGUGGACUAUACACUUAGAUAAAAUUUCAGCUAGAUGAGAAUAUAUGAGAAAUUAAACAUUCAAAACCUACACAAAGAGUUAAUUGCCACUGCCACUAAACAGAUAAAAACCAAAGGUUUAGAUGACCAAGACUCACUAUAUUUUUAGAACAUACAAGACAGUCUGGUGCUGACCAUAACUACUAUUACAUCAUUGUAAGAAUUAUUAAAAAUGUAAAAAGAAAAAAAAUUGUGUGUCAGAUCUCUUCAUUGCAGUGAAAUAUUACAUAUUAUGUUAUGUAACAAUAUUUAUUUUACUUUUCACUGCUGUAAUUUCUUGUGUUUACUUUUGUACACUUUUCUUUAUCAUUCAAUUUGCUAUCCUUGCAAUUCAGAUCUUUCACACAAGCUUAGUGUAGGAGGAUUUGAUACUGCCUGCAUAAUUGAUACUGCUGUAUUUGUCUUUUUCAAUUAAUGGGUAUGUCUGCAUUCAAAUGAUCAAGGGAUAUCACCACAAAACACCCAUAAUAGCUGUUUUUUUGAAGAACCAAUGAAACAUUUACAGAACUAAAAGUGAUUAUCACAUGUUAAUAAAGCAUUUAAAAAGUAAAUUGUAAUAUAAAUUGGUCUUGGUGUCCAAUAUUGUCACUAACUGAAACUUAAUACACUGACCACAGAUUUAUCAGUGGUAAAAAAAAUUAAAAAAAAUAAAAAAUAAGCCCUGUAUUUAUUAAUGUAUACAUAACAAGGCCCCAGUAGCUAAAAUGUUUUUUUUUUUUUUUUUUUUAAAUAAAAUAAUUUUCUUUAAGUUUCGUUAGCUCUUGUGCUUGCAACCAGUGGCGGAACUCCCUGUGGACCACUGCGACCGCGGCCCUGCAUUGAAAGGUCCUAUCAGGUGGCUCAUGCUGUUAGGGCCACACGAUGGAAAUGAAUUUCCAGGGGGCUCGGUUAGCGCUGUGGCACUUUAACAGCACAACCAGGCCUCCUGGGAUGACGUGAGAUGCUGGGAGGAAGUGACUGCCCCGGUCACUUCUCCCAGCAUUCAAAGAACCCGCGCUGGAGGAAGGAGAGGAGGGAGUCAGAGUGGGAACUCUGACUCCCAUCAGCCUGAGCCACCACUGGAACCCAGGGAAGUCACCUUCCUGCACCUAAAAGGUAGGAAACAGGAGGGUGACUAAAACAUUUUGUAUGCAUGUGUGUUUGUCUGUGUACGUAUGUCUUUGUGUUUAUACAUGUGUCUGUAUGCCAGUGUAUGUGCGUGUCUCUGUAUAUGUGUAUGUGUCUAUGUGUGUGGGCAAUGUAUGGAAGGGGGAGGGUAGACGUAUGGGCGGGGUGGCCCUAGGGCAAUUUUCACACGGGGGGCCCUGUGGUUUCUAGUUACGCCUCUGCUUACAACUUUUCGUUUCAUGCAUACAAAAAAAAAAAUUGUUCACACAGAUCACAACACAUAUUCUAUAAUAAAUUUGAUGCACUUAUACAAUGUCAAUAGUAUCUGUCUCGAUCGAUUAAGUUUAUGACUUAAUAAAUGGGGUUUAGCAAAAUACAUCUAGCUUGAAAAGAAGAAAAAAAAAAAGAUUUGAAAGGUUGUCCCUUGUGGCUAUAUAUGGUACUGCACAGAUUAUUCCAAUUAGAGUGAUGCAACAGCCUUUUUUUAGAAUUAGUUCAAACAUUUCUUUAGAAUUAGUAUUGAAAUUAGAAAGGAGCUGCUCUACCCAGAGAGGAGGUGGAUCAACUAGAAUUGACCGGCUAAUAUUUCCUUAUGCACUGUUAAAUUUUUUGUUCAGUUUUUAAAAUGUCCACACUACACAGGGUCAAUUAUUUAUGUAUGCAUAAUUUUAAUAUAUUAAAGGGAUACUUAUUACAAAGUUUCUUAUCAUCUUACCUAAAUUUUGGCACAGCUUACAUUAUUAUUUUUAGAUAUCAAUUUGGUUAGAGUUAAUGUUUGCUGAGCAAUAUGGGAAAUGUUGGUGUCUCAAAAUGGUGGGAUUCUGCCAACUUCAAAGAAGACCCAUAGAGAAGACUUCUCAACAUUCCAACCUGUACAUUAACUCCAGUCUCAAUUCAAAACUUUAUUCAUAUGCUGGAGCAGAAUCCCACUUUUUAUCGUUUCUCUAGAAGUUGAAACAUUUUUGAAGGGUUUAUGAGCCAACCUGAAAAGAGGAGAGCUAUGGCAUAAUUCAAUUGUGCUCGGUAUAAAAUACAGAUAGCUAAGUUAAGAGCCAGUGGUAAUAACCUUGGCAGAUUGUCUCCUGGGGUGUGACAAACCUUGCUCUACUACCUAUCAAGAUCUCCAGAGAAAAUAUAAAUGAGUUUCCUCCAACCUUUUGCUAAGAAAAACAUUACAUUGUAAUAAAAAAAAUAAAAUCGAUAAUUGUUCGAAAACAUAACAUGCGUAUGGAGCAAGAAUUUAAAGCACCAUAAGAUAUCUAUUUUUUGUUGACAAAAAGGUAACAGUUUCUACACAGUCAAGACAUAAAAAUCUACUUUAUAUUGAUAAUGUCAAGUAUAAGAAAUACACAAAAAGAUACACAAAAGAGAGAUACAGACUAACAGUGAGGGAAAGAGUCUCACACAAAUAUGAACACACAUGGGAACACACUGAGAACUAGACAAACAUACAUACACACACACACAGGCUUGCCAACCCACUUAAAGUCAGUCCCGGUUAAAUCUAUUAAAAUUCUGGUUUUCGCAGCAACUCUACUCCCUUUAAAAAUCUAGAUGGAUGCCUUGCCAAUGAAGAACAAAAAAAAAAACAAGUUAUUUUAUUCUCCAAAACGAACAUGCUUUCUAAUUGUAAGGUUCUAUUUGACCUACAUGUUUUGAAAUUUUAGUGUAAACUUAACUUUUGAUAGACCAGACCAGUCCUUAUUGUCCACCAACAAUUCAGGAUUUCUGUAUUUAAUUUUUAUUCCACUAGAGAUGCUGACAAAAUCUUAGAAUGCAUUCAUAACGAAGAUACUAUGGUUCUAGUAUCUGCAAAUAAUCAAAGAUAAAUCUGGUCAAACCUCUCCAGCACAGACAUGGUGGCCUAUUGAUAUUGAUAUAAGAGAAAAUGCUGUUUUAACAAGACUUUACAGGGACUUCUACUUAUUCUCGAAUGAGGUUGGGGCUGUGAAUACAUUAAAUUCCAAGCACAUGUAUUUAUUUAUCCUUUGUGUGAAAUAUUAAAUUUUGUCUAGAUUUGAUAUAUUUCCGUUAUAUUUAAGUUUAAUGCACAAUGUUUCAAACUAAAACAAUAUUUAACAAACAUUAGUGAACAAAAGUCAAU